UCUGAACGCUGGCGGCGUGGCUAAGACAUGCAAGUCGUACGGGCGUAGCAAUACGUCAGUGGCGGACGGGUGAGUAAUAUAUAGCUAACGUACCCCGGAUUCUGGGAUAGCUGUCCGAAAGGACAGGUAAUACCAGAUGAUAUAACCGUGUCGCAUGGCAUGGUUCUCAAAGGGAAACCGUUCUGGGAUCGGGCUAUAUC
RNAcentral lists this ribosomal RNA (200 nucleotides) under uncultured bacterium. RNAcentral's name for it is "partial 16S ribosomal RNA". It matches the Rfam family "Bacterial small subunit ribosomal RNA", at positions 30 to 237 of the family's 1533-position model. The record is from RNAcentral.